Molecule: non-coding RNA, 109 nt
Organism: Polychaeton citri CBS 116435
Lineage: Eukaryota; Fungi; Ascomycota; Dothideomycetes; Capnodiales; Capnodiaceae
Source: the annotation of a GenBank genome assembly
CUCUCCUUAGCUCAGCUGGAAGAGCGUGAGACUGUAAUGGAUCAACUCGUGUGCCUCGUGUCAUUACGUGGGUAUCUCAAGGUCCCUGGUUCGAACCCGGGAGGGGAGA